RNAcentral lists this long non-coding RNA (868 nucleotides) under Equus caballus (horse). RNAcentral's name for it is "lncRNA (ENSECAG00000059992.1)". Lineage: Eukaryota; Metazoa; Chordata; Mammalia; Perissodactyla; Equidae. The record is from RNAcentral.
AAGGACAUUUACUUGUCAGGACUGAGUGAGGAUGACAAAAGGAACGUAAAAUGCCCCAAACAGUGCCCAGAGUGUAGCAUGUGCUCAAUAAUAGUAUCUGCCAUUCCUCUUAUUAUUGUACUACCUCCCACCUUGGAUGUGAACCUGAGGCCCGGGAUGGGGUGGGGAGCCUGCCACUCUUGCCGGCAACCGUUAAGACAAGCAUGAAGAUAAAAUCCAGGAAGCUAAGCAUGGAAGAGGGAAAGCAGACAGAGCCAGGAGCCCUGGGGCAUUGGUGAGCAGCCAGACUGCCCACGCUGGACCUCUGAUUAUCAAAGGGAUGAAUCUCUAUCCUGUGAAGAGCAUAGCUGCUGAUCAUCCCAAAACUGGAGCCAUCUUAAUGUGAACAACAGCUUUCCUCCCCGUAAUGCCCGUGCCAGCCAUUGAGCCACCCAGGAGGAUCUGGGGAGCCCCAAGUCUCCAAAGCAGAAACAAAAGGGAAGACUUGUCCGAGAUUACCUUAGUAAUAAGCAGCUAAUUAUAAUAUUAAUUUGCAUAAUACCCUCCCUUUUAGCAGUGAUUUCACUGCGAAAACCAAGUGGUAUUAAUGAAAAAAAAAUUGUUUCCAGCUGCCUAAGCCCAGAGGCUAAUCCAGGAAUUGAUGCCCUUGCAACAAUGACCAUAAGAUCUCCUUGUGGGCAGAGCCUCUGAAGGCCUGUUUGGGCAGCUAACCCUUCUUUUGAGCGCUCUUUUUUACCUUCAGUGGUUGAGACUGAGGUCUUAAAACUGCUCCUGCCAAUGACAACCAAAGUUACCUGCCAGAGCAGAAAGAAACAAAAGAAAAGGAAAAUCUUAAAUUAUGCGUUCCCUUCUUUAGAAUGGGCCUGUG